RNAcentral lists this ribosomal RNA (762 nucleotides) under Lysinibacillus pakistanensis. Its description in RNAcentral is "bacterial SSU rRNA". It matches the Rfam family "Bacterial small subunit ribosomal RNA", at positions 35 to 769 of the family's 1533-position model. The record is from RNAcentral. Lineage: Bacteria; Bacillati; Bacillota; Bacilli; Caryophanales; Bacillaceae.
GCAUUGCGAUAGUAGUAUACUGCAGUCGAGCGAACAGAGAAGGAGCUUGCUCCUUUGACGUUAGCGGCGGACGGGUGAGUAACACGUGGGCAACCUACCCUAUAGUUUGGGAUAACUCCGGGAAACCGGGGCUAAUACCGAAUAAUCUAUGUCACCUCAUGGUGACAUACUGAAAGACGGUUUCGGCUGUCGCUAUAGGAUGGGCCCGCGGCGCAUUAGCUAGUUGGUGAGGUAAUGGCUCACCAAGGCGACGAUGCGUAGCCGACCUGAGAGGGUGAUCGGCCAAACUGGGACUGAGCCAGGACCCAGACUUCUACGGGAGGCAGCAGUAGGGAAUCUUCCACAAUGGGCGAAAGCCUGAUGGAGCAACGCCGCGUGAGUGAAGAAGGUUUUCGGAUCGUAAAACUCUGUUGUAAGGGAAGAACAAGUACAGUAGUAACUGGCUGUACCUUGACGGUACCUUAUUAGAAAGCCACGGCUAACUACGUGCCAGCAGCCGCGGUAAAUACCUAGGGGGCAAGCGUUGUCCGGAAAUUAUUGGGGGGUAAAGGCGCGCGGCAGGCGGGCCCUUUAAGUCUGAUGUGAAAGCCCACGGCUCAACCGUGGAGGGGCAUUGGAAACUGGGGGACUUGGGUGCAGAAGAGAAAAAUGGAAUUUCCAAGUGUAGCGGUGAAAUGGCUUAGAGAUUUGUGAGGAACACCAUUGGCGAAGGCGACUUUCUGGUCUGUUACUGACCCUGAAGCGGGAAAAACGGGGGGGAGC